RNAcentral lists this ribosomal RNA (253 nucleotides) under uncultured bacterium. Its description in RNAcentral is "partial 16S ribosomal RNA". It matches the Rfam family "Bacterial small subunit ribosomal RNA", at positions 524 to 776 of the family's 1533-position model. The record is from RNAcentral.
UACGUAGGGGGCAAGCGUUGUCCGGAUUCAUUGAGCGUAAAGAGCGUGUAGGCGGCCAGGUAGGUCGGUUGUGAAAACUGGAGGCUCAACCUUCAGAGGUCGACCGAAACCAUCUGGCUAGAGUCCGGGAGAGGAGAGUGGAAUUCCUGGUGUAGCGGUGAAAUGCGCAGAUAUCAGGAAGAACACCCGUGGCGAAAGCGGCUCUCUGGAACGGUACUGACGCUGAGACGCGAAAGCGUGGGGAGCGAACAGG